UAGUUAUAUUCUUUAAACCUAUAGAAUUUGGCGGUGUUCUAUCCUAUUUAGAGGAAUUUGCCCUAUUAUCGAUAAUCCUCGUUUUAUCUGACUUUUAUUUGUUUAGUUUGUAUAUCGCCGUUAUAAGUUUAUUCUUUUAGGAUUUAUUUACUUUAUUAUGUUAUUUAUGUAUUUCAGGUCAAGGUGCAGCUAAUAUUUAAGUAGAGGUGAAUUACAUUAUAAUUUAAUAUACGGAUUUAGCUUUGAAAGAUUUUAAGCUAUUAAAGGUGGAUUUAAUAGUAAUUUUAUUUAUAGUAUUAUUAUGACUUUAGCUCUAGAAUAAGUACACAUCGCCCGUCGCUCUA
RNAcentral lists this ribosomal RNA (344 nucleotides) under Lobolibethra panguana. RNAcentral's name for it is "partial small subunit ribosomal RNA". Lineage: Eukaryota; Metazoa; Arthropoda; Insecta; Phasmatodea; Diapheromeridae. The record is from RNAcentral.